AGGAUGAACGCUGGCGGCGUGCCUAACACAUGCAAGUCGAACGUCCUGUCUCGCAAGAGGCAGGGAGUGGCGGACGGGUGAGUACCACGUGGGUUAUCUACCGUGAGGUGAGGAAUACCGGCGAGAAAUCGCCGACAAGACCGCAUAGCCUCGGUGCAAGCCGAGGAAAGCUUUCUCGAGAGAGGGAGCGCCACACGAGGAGCCUGCGCCCGAUUAGCUAGCUGGUGGAGUAACGGUUCACCAGGGCGACGAUCGGUAGCUGGUCUGAGAGGACGAUCAGCCACACUGGGAUUGAGAACGGCCCAGACUCCUACGGGGGGCAGCAGUGAGGAAUUUUCGUCAAUGGGGCAACCCUGAACGAGCAACGCCGCGUGCAGGAAGAAGGUUUUCGAAUCGUAAACUGCUUUUCUCGGGGAAGAGAACGGACGGUACCCGAGGAAUCAGCCCCGGCUAACUACGUGCCAGCAGCCGCGGUAA
Molecule: ribosomal RNA, 477 nt
Filed under: uncultured bacterium
Lineage: Bacteria
Description: SSU rRNA
Rfam family: Bacterial small subunit ribosomal RNA
Source: RNAcentral